This 370-nucleotide long non-coding RNA is filed under the name Gallus gallus (chicken). The record is from RNAcentral. Lineage: Eukaryota; Metazoa; Chordata; Aves; Galliformes; Phasianidae.
AAGAUUCACAUGUGAGAUCUACUACUUCUUCACCAGCACUUUCCUCCAGUUCUAUUGGCUCUCCUUCUGAAGCCAUCUCUGUGGUAGAAGCUAUCAGUCUGCUUCGUUUCUGAGAUUGCCUAGAGUUAGCUGAUCCUCCACGGCGCUUUCUUGGAGUUGUACUCAUGGCGUUUCUUGAUCUAGAGUUACAGAAAAAAUAAGAGGUACAAAUACCAUAAAAUUAAAUGCAAGGAAGCUACAAUUUUCAAUUCCUUAUAUUUCUUUAGGUAGUACACUGUUAAAAAGUCCAGAUUUCUCAGUAUCUUAGAAUGACGUUCUUCCAAACCUUCCGCCGCCGGCCCGGCAACGGCGUAGAACGGCGCUCGCCCCC